RNAcentral lists this transfer RNA (122 nucleotides) under Vibrio cholerae. Its description in RNAcentral is "tRNA-OTHER". It matches the Rfam family "tRNA". From Rfam's summary of the family: Transfer RNA (tRNA) molecules are approximately 80 nucleotides in length. The record is from RNAcentral. RNAcentral also lists the same sequence under 1 other name. Lineage: Bacteria; Pseudomonadati; Pseudomonadota; Gammaproteobacteria; Vibrionales; Vibrionaceae.
GGCAUUGUAGCUCAGUAUGGAUAGAGCGCCACGCCGCUAUUGAAUGGGUUGCAAACCAUUUAAUUAUGAUUCUAGACAAAGGCUAAUAUGGGAGGUCGCUGGUUCGAGUCCAGCCAAUGCCC